UAAGUGUUGCUCUUUGUUGAUCCUGGU
Molecule: non-coding RNA, 27 nt
Filed under: Rattus norvegicus (Norway rat)
Lineage: Eukaryota; Metazoa; Chordata; Mammalia; Rodentia; Muridae
Source: RNAcentral